AUUGAACGCUGGCGGCAGGCCUAACACAUGCAAGUCGAACGAGUGGCGGACGGGUGAGCAAGGUCUGGGAAACUGCCUGAUGGAGGGGGAUAACGACUGGAAACCGUAGCUAAUACCGCAUACCAUCGGAUGUGCCCAGAGGGGAUUAGCUAGUAGGUGGGGUAACGGCUCACCUAGGCGACGAUCCCUAGCUGGUCUGAGAGGGUGACCAGCCACACUGGAACUGAGACACGGUCCAGACUCCUACGGGAGGCAGCAGUGGGGAAUAUUGCACAAUGGGCGAAAGCCUGAUGCAGCCACGCCGCGUGUGUGAAGAAGGCCUUCGGGUUGUAAAGUACUUUCGGCAGGGAAGCGUUACUCACAGAGGAAGCACCGGCUAACUCCGUGCCAGCAGCCGCGGUAAUUC
Molecule: ribosomal RNA, 406 nt
Filed under: uncultured bacterium
Lineage: Bacteria
Description: partial 16S ribosomal RNA
Rfam family: Bacterial small subunit ribosomal RNA
Source: RNAcentral